UAUUAUUAUUGAGAAAGUAAAAAAAAACAGAGAAAAAAAAAAUUUUCCAGAGAAAGGUUGAGUUAGGAAGAAGAAGAGAGUUUGAAAUUAGAAUUAGGGGAUUUGGAAAAAUAAAAGUAGAUUAAGAUUUGAAAUCAGAAUUGGAAAGAGAUAUAGAAUUAGGGUUGGGAAUUUGUGAAAGGGAAAGUAAAUCUACGUUUUGAAGGUGAGAGGAGAGAGGAGAGAGGAUAGAGGAGAGAGGAGAGUGUAGAGAGUAGAGAGGAGAGAAUAUAAUCAUGGUUAGUUGUUUCUGGUUAGGUUAGUUUGGUCUGAUCAAAAUUGGGGGUAUGAAAGACAUUAGACAGACAUAAUGUGUCUAGCCAGCAUGAAGUGUCUAAAAGUGUAAAACAUAAGACGAAAAGUGUCUUAUAGAGUAAAAAAGUCAAUAAAUUUCUAGGAUGUGGCUCGAGUGUUUCCAGUUUCACUUGUAGAUAUAUCACACGUGACUCUGUAGUGACAUUAC
Molecule: long non-coding RNA, 502 nt
Filed under: Brassica napus (rape)
Lineage: Eukaryota; Viridiplantae; Streptophyta; Magnoliopsida; Brassicales; Brassicaceae
Description: long non-coding RNA (BNAP_LNC005537)
Source: RNAcentral